GACGAACGCUGGCGGCGUGCUUAAUACAUGCAAGUAGAACGCACAGUUUAUACCGUAGCUUGCUACACCAUAGACUGUGGGUUGCGAACGGGUGAGUAACGCGUCGGUAACCUGCCUGGUAGCGGGGGAUAACUAUUGGAAACGCUAGAUAAUACCGCCUACUAUUGAUUAUUGCAUGAUAAUUGUUUGAAAGAUGCUAUUGCCUCACUACCAGAUGGCUCUUCGUUGUAUUAGCUAUUAGGUGAGGUAUUGGCUCACCUCGGCGAGGAUACAUAGCCGACCUGGGAUGGUGAUCGGCCACACUGGGACGGAGACACGGCCCAGACGCCUACGGGAUGCAGCAGUAGGGAAUCUGCGGCAAAGGACGAGAGUCUGACCGAGCAACGCCGCGAGAGUGAUGAAGGUUUUCGGAUCGUAAAGCUCGGUUGUAAGAGAAGAACGGGGGUGAGGGUGGAAAGUUCACACUGGGACGGUAACUUACCAGAAAAGGACGGCUAACUACGUG
This 505-nucleotide ribosomal RNA is filed under the name uncultured bacterium. RNAcentral describes it as "partial 16S ribosomal RNA". It matches the Rfam family "Bacterial small subunit ribosomal RNA", at positions 28 to 507 of the family's 1533-position model. The record is from RNAcentral.